RNAcentral lists this ribosomal RNA (449 nucleotides) under uncultured bacterium. Its description in RNAcentral is "partial 16S ribosomal RNA". It matches the Rfam family "Bacterial small subunit ribosomal RNA", at positions 338 to 795 of the family's 1533-position model. The record is from RNAcentral.
CCUACGGGGGGCAGCAGUGGGGAAUUUUGGACAAUGGGGGCAACCCUGAUCCAGCCAUGCCGCGUGAGUGAAGAAGGCCUUCGGGUUGUAAAGCUCUUUCAGCCGGGAAGAAAUCGCAUCAGCUAAUACCUGGUGUGGAUGACGGUACCGGAAUAAGAAGCACCGGCUAACUACGUGCCAGCAUCCGCGGUAAUACGUAGGGUGCGAGCGUUAAUCGGAAUUACUGGGCGGGAAGCGUAAGACAGGGGUGAAAUCCCCGGGCUCAACCUGGGAACUGCGUUUGUGACUGCACAGCUAGAGUAUGGCAGAGGGGGGUGGAAUUCCACGUGUAGCAGUGAAAUGCGUAGAGAUGUGGAGGAACACCGAUGGCGAAGGCAGCCCCCUGGGCCAAUACUGACGCUCAUGCACGAAAGCGUGGGUAGCAAACAGGAUUAGAUACCCCUGUAGUC